UUGACAGAAGAGAGUGAGCACACAGAGGCACUUGGUAUAGCUUUAUAUUACUGCUUUUGCGUGCUCAUUUCUCUUUCUGUCAU
MicroRNA precursor from Lupinus angustifolius (narrow-leaved blue lupine), 83 nucleotides. It matches the Rfam family "mir-156 microRNA precursor family". From Rfam's summary of the family: This family represents the plant microRNA (miRNA) precursor mir-156. Animal miRNAs are transcribed as ~70nt precursors and subsequently processed by the Dicer enzyme to give a ~22nt product. In plants the precursor sequences may be longer, and the carpel factory (caf) enzyme appears to be involved in processing. NCBI's taxonomy places the organism in Eukaryota, Viridiplantae, Streptophyta, Magnoliopsida, Fabales, Fabaceae. The record is from Rfam.